Molecule: ribosomal RNA, 574 nt
Filed under: Melampsora salicis-cavaleriei
Lineage: Eukaryota; Fungi; Basidiomycota; Pucciniomycetes; Pucciniales; Melampsoraceae
Description: partial large subunit ribosomal RNA
Rfam family: Eukaryotic large subunit ribosomal RNA
Source: RNAcentral
AGUAACGGCGAGUGAACAGGGAAAAGCCCAAAUUUGUAAUCUGGCACUUUUUACGAGUGUCCGAGUUGUAAUUUGUAGAACUGUUAUCCGUGCUGGACCAUGUACAAGUCUGUUGAAAAGCAGCAUCAUUGAAGGUGAAAAUCCUGUAGAUGAUAUGGACUACCAGUACUUUUGUGAUACGGUUUCUAAGAGUCGAGUUGUUUGGGAAUGCAGCUCAAAGUGGGUGGUAAAUUCCAUCUAAGGCUAAAUAUAAGUGAGAGACCGAUAGCAAACAAGUACCGUGAGGGAAAGAUGAAAAGAACUUUGAAAAUAGAGUUAACAGUACGUGAAAUUGCUGAAAGGGAAACGUUUGAAGUUAGUUUUGUAUUCGUUGGAUCAGCUUCGCAAGGAGUGUAUUCUGAUGAUAAGCAAGUCAACAUCAGUCUAUGAGUGUUGGAGAAGGGUUUUGAGAAUGUAGCAAUUUAAUUGUGUUAUAGCUUGAGACUUGGAUACAAUGCUUUGGAUUGAGGAACGCGUAGUAAGCUUUGAGCGGAUUCGAAAGGAUCUCCUUACUAUGGAUGUUGGUGAAAUAACU